RNAcentral lists this transfer RNA (73 nucleotides) under Gammaproteobacteria bacterium. RNAcentral describes it as "tRNA-Gln". It matches the Rfam family "tRNA". From Rfam's summary of the family: Transfer RNA (tRNA) molecules are approximately 80 nucleotides in length. Their secondary structure includes four short double-helical elements and three loops (D, anti-codon, and T loops). Lineage: Bacteria; Pseudomonadati; Pseudomonadota; Gammaproteobacteria. The record is from RNAcentral. RNAcentral also lists the same sequence under 1 other name.
AGCCCUGUGGUCUAGUGGUCAAGGAUAUGGGACUCUGGAUCCCAUGGCCCAGGUUCGAAUCCUGGCAGGGCUA